Molecule: ribosomal RNA, 708 nt
Filed under: Triticum aestivum (bread wheat)
Lineage: Eukaryota; Viridiplantae; Streptophyta; Magnoliopsida; Poales; Poaceae
Description: partial small subunit ribosomal RNA
Source: RNAcentral
AUGAGCCACCUCCAACGCGGCGAGGGUGGCGCCGGCCGCCGCUGCACAGCGCGUCUCCGUUACCAGAUCCAUGCGAGCGACGAGGGAUCCGGACCGGCUCGCUCACGCACCACGCGCCUCCGUCCCCAAAUAAACACCCAUGAGGAUGGCGCCGGAGUGACCUGCAACCGCCGGAGCGGUAAGCGCCACCAUCGGCGCGGUAAGGGCCUCCGCCCCCAGAACCACGCGAGCGAGGAGGGCGACGACACCUCACUGGAGCCGCCUGCCUCCCUGCCGGACAGCGAAGAUAUGCUCCGGGAGAUUCUCCUCCGCCUCCCCCUGGACCUAUACUCUCUCCCCCGCGCCUCCGCCGUGUGCAAGCAGUGGCGAGGCAUCCUCGCCGACCCCAAGUUCCUCCGCCGGUUCUACACGCACCACCGCAAGCCGCCCCUCCUCGGCUUCUUCCAUUGCGGCAGCACACAGACCCCGUUCAUGCCCGUCCUGGCCCCCGCUCCCGACCGCAUCACCCCUGGGCGCUUCUCCCUUGGACACUACAGCAACCGCAUCCUGAUUGAUUCUCGCCACGGCCGUGUCCUCGUCAAAGACUUGCAGCAUCAAGAGGUCGUCGUUUGUGAUCCUAUCACCAGCAAACAUCACCGAGUGCCCAUUCCGCCCGAGUUCAACGAAUGCUUCUUUAACGCGACAGUGCUUUGUGCUGCUAGCAACUAG